This 514-nucleotide ribosomal RNA is filed under the name uncultured bacterium. RNAcentral describes it as "bacterial SSU rRNA". It matches the Rfam family "Bacterial small subunit ribosomal RNA", at positions 10 to 518 of the family's 1533-position model. The record is from RNAcentral.
AGUUGAUCCUGGCUCAGGAUGAACGCUAGCUACAGGCUUAACACAUGCAAGUCGAGGGGCAGCAUGAGAUUAGCUUGCUAAUCUGAUGGCGACCGGCGCACGGGUGAGUAACGCGUAUCCAACCUUCCCCCUGCUCAGGGAUAGCCCGGUGAAAACCGGAUUAAGACCUGAUAGUUCACUAGAUGGCAUCUGACGGUGAAUAAAGGUUUCGGCAAGGGAUGGGGAUGCGUCUGAUUAGCUUGUUGGCGGGUAACGGCCCACCAAGGCAACGAUCAGUAGGGGUUCUGAGAGGAAGGUCCCCCACAUUGGAACUGAGACACGGUCCAAACUCCUACGGGAGGCAGCAGUGAGGAAUAUUGGUCAAUGGGCGGAAGCCUGAACCAGCCAAGUAGCGUGCAGGAAUGACGGCCCUAUGGGUUGUAAACUGCUUUUGUAUGGGAAUAAAGUCAUCCACGUGUGGAUGUUUGCAUGUACCAUAAGAAUAAGGACCGGCUAAUUCCGUGCCAGCCGCCGC